This 1262-nucleotide long non-coding RNA is filed under the name Piliocolobus tephrosceles (Ugandan red Colobus). RNAcentral's name for it is "lncRNA (ENSPTEG00000014650.1)". Lineage: Eukaryota; Metazoa; Chordata; Mammalia; Primates; Cercopithecidae. The record is from RNAcentral.
AUGGGUACUGGUAUGGGUACUGGUAUGAGUACUGGUAUGGGUACUGGUAUGGGUACUGGUAUGGAUACUGGUAUGGGUACUGGUAUGGGUUCCGGUAAGGGUUCCGAUAUGGAUACCGGUAUAGAUAUAGGUAUGGAGGAUAAAGAACAUAUUAAUAAGAAUCACUCAGAUGAGGAUAAUAUACUUGAUGACGCUAACCAAAUGAGGAAAGUUAUUACAAAAGAAAUGGAAAUACAUGAAAAAAGAAUGGAUAAGGAAGAAAUAAGUAAAGAAAAUAUAAAAAAAGAAUUAGUUGACUUAACCAAACAAAAAUUAACAAACGAAAUGGGAGAAUCUUGUGUACAAGCACAAUUACAAAAUAAUGAACAUUCAGUAUUGAAUGAAUCAAAAAACAACAACAAAGUAACAGUGAGUGGUGAUAGUGGUAAUAUUGGUAACAGUGGUAAUAUUGGUAACAGUGGUAAUAUUGGUAACAGUGGUAAUAUUGGUAAUAUUGGUAAUAUUGGUGAUAAUAGUGGUAACAGUGGCGAUAAUAGUGAUAAUUCCAAAUUAAACGAAAUAAGAAAAUUAGAAGAGUUAUAUCAAAGAGCAAACUUUGAUUAUAAAACAACCGAAAGGCGUUUUAAUAAUCUAAUAGAUUUAACACAAAAAUUAACAAAUGAAUAUAAAAAUGUAUAUUUUUUAACAAAAGGCGAAUUUGAAACAUUAUGUAAAAACUUAGAAGAAUAUAAAGAAAAUAUAGAAAUACAAUGGCAAAUAAAAUGGAUAGGUGGAGUAGAUAAUAAUAUAUAUGGGCCAUAUAAGUAUUGUGAUAUAUAUAAUUUAAUAGCAAUUGGUGCUGUAUCAGCACUUAAUCCUAUACUUUUAAGAAGGAUAAGCAAUGAAAAUAAAAUUUUAGAAAAUGUUUGGCAAAUGUAUGAUGCAGUUAAUUAUUUAACUUUUGUUACUAACGAAAAUGUAAAAAAAAAAAAAAAAAAAAAAAAAAAAAGGAUUAAUUCAAAUAUCUUCAAAAAAAAAUGAAAAAACUGGAAUUUCUAAUGCUGGUCAUAAUACUAGUGGAACUGUUGAGGGAGAUGAACAAAAUGAAAAUAAUAGCAACGACGAUUCAGAUGAUGACUAUGAUGAUCAUUAUUAACUCAUCCUGGCUUGUGACAUACAUGUGAAUAUAUACAUAUAUACAUAUAUAUAUAUAUAUAUGAUCACAUAUAUUUUUUUUUUAAAACUUAAUUUUUUUAUAUAGUCAUUGAUUUAUUUCUUAUUAU